AUUGAACGCUGGCGGCAGGCCUAACACAUGCAAGUCGAACGGUAACAGGGAUCAGCUUGCUGAUUCGCUGACGAGUGGCGGACGGGUGAGUAAUGUCUGGGAAACUGCCUGAUGGAGGGGGAUAACUACUGGAAACGGUAGCUAAUACCGCAUAACGUCGCAAGACCAAAGAGGGGGACCUUCGGGCCUCUUGCCAUCGGAUGUGCCCAGAUGGGAUUAGCUAGUAGGUGGGGUAACGGCUCACCGAGGCGACGAUCCCUAGCUGGUCUGAGAGGAUGACCAGCCACACUGGAACUGAGACACGGUCCAGACUCCUACGGGAGGCAGCAGUGGGGAAUAUUGUACAAUGGGCGCAAGCCUGAUGCAGCCAUGCCGCGUGUAUGAAGAAGGCCUUCGGGUUGUAAAGUACUUUCAGCGGGGAGGAAGGGAGUAAAGUUAAUACCUUUGCUCAUUGACGUUACCCGCAGAAGAAGCACCGGCUAACUCCGUG
RNAcentral lists this ribosomal RNA (490 nucleotides) under uncultured bacterium. Its description in RNAcentral is "partial 16S ribosomal RNA". It matches the Rfam family "Bacterial small subunit ribosomal RNA", at positions 30 to 507 of the family's 1533-position model. The record is from RNAcentral.